Molecule: transfer RNA, 67 nt
Filed under: human gut metagenome
Also listed under: 1 other name
Rfam family: tRNA
About the family: Transfer RNA (tRNA) molecules are approximately 80 nucleotides in length.
Source: RNAcentral
AACUUAGCUCAGUCGGUAGAGCAACCGGCCGUUAACCGGUAGGUCGUAGGUUCGAAUCCUACAGUUG